This 497-nucleotide ribosomal RNA is filed under the name uncultured bacterium. Its description in RNAcentral is "partial 16S ribosomal RNA". It matches the Rfam family "Bacterial small subunit ribosomal RNA", at positions 28 to 507 of the family's 1533-position model. The record is from RNAcentral.
GAUGAACGCUGGCGGCGUGCCUAAUACAUGCAAGUCGAGCGAACGGACGAGAAGCUUGCUUCUCUGAUGUUAGCGGCGGACGGGUGAGUAACACGUGGAUAACCUACCUAUAAGACUGGGAUAACUUCGGGAAACCGUAGCUAAUACCGGAUAAUAUUUUGAACCGCAUGGUUCAAAAGUGAAAGACGGUCUUGCUGUCACUUAUAGAUGGAUCCGCGCUGCAUUAGCUAGUUGGUAAGGUAACGGCUUACCAAGGCAACGAUGCAUAGCCGACCUGAGAGGGUGAUCGCCCACACUGGAACUGAGACACGGUCCUGACUCCUACGGGAGGCAGCAGUAGGGAAUCUUCCGCAAUGGGCGAAAGCCUGACGGAGCAACGCCGCGUGAGUGAUGAAGGUCUUCGGAUCGUAAAACUCUGUUAUUAGGGAAGAACAUAUGUGUAAGUAACUGUGCACAUCUUGACGGUACCUAAUCAGAAAGCCACGGCUAACUACGUG